CGGAGAAAGAACCAACAGGGAUUGCCUCAGUAACGGCGAGUGAAGCGGCAACAGCUCAAAUUUGAAAUCUGGCCCCUUCGGGGUCCGAGUUGUAAUUUGCAGAGGGUGCUUUUGGUGUUGGCCGUGGUCUAAGUUCCUUGGAACAGGACGUCACAGAGGGUGAGAAUCCCGUACGUGGCCGCCGGCCCUCGCCUUGUAAAGCCCCUUCGACGAGUCGAGUUGUUUGGGAAUGCAGCUCUAAAUGGGAGGUAAAUUUCUUCUAAAGCUAAAUACCCGCCAGAGACCGAUAGCGCACAAGUAGAGUGAUCGAAAGAUGAAAAGCACUUUGGAAAGAGAGUGAAAAAGCACGUGAAAUUGUUGAAAGGGAAGCGCUUGCGGCCAGACGUGCCCGCGGUUGUUCAUCUGGGCUCUCGCCCGGUGCACUCCUCCGCGGGCAGGCCAGCAUCAGUUUGGGCGGUCGGACAAAGGUCUCUAUCACGUACCACCCCUCGGGGUGGCCUUAUAGGGGAGACGCAACACGGCCAGCCUGGACUGAGGUUCCGCGCAUCUGCUAGGAUGCUGGCGUAAUGGCAGCAAGCGGCCCGUCUUGAAACACGGACCAAGGAGUCUAACAUCUAUGCGAGUGUUUGGGUGUCAAGCCCGAGCGCGUAAUGAAAGUGAACGGAGGUGGGAACCCCUCGGGGCGCACCAUCGACCGAUCCUGAUGUCUUCGGAUGGAUUUGAGUAAGAGCAUAGCUGUUGGGACCCGAAAGAUGGUGAACUAUGCCUGAAUAGGGUGAAGCCAGAGGAAACUCUGGUGGAGGCUCGCAGCGGUUCUGACGUGCAAAUCGAUCGUCAAAUUUGGGCAUAGGGGCGAAAGACUAAUC
Molecule: ribosomal RNA, 866 nt
Filed under: Dendryphion sp.
Lineage: Eukaryota; Fungi; Ascomycota; Dothideomycetes; Pleosporales; Torulaceae
Description: partial large subunit ribosomal RNA
Rfam family: Eukaryotic large subunit ribosomal RNA
Source: RNAcentral